Molecule: ribosomal RNA, 225 nt
Filed under: Bacillus cereus
Lineage: Bacteria; Bacillati; Bacillota; Bacilli; Caryophanales; Bacillaceae
Description: partial 16S ribosomal RNA
Rfam family: Bacterial small subunit ribosomal RNA
Source: RNAcentral
UUUAUUGGAGAGUUUGAUCCUGGCUCAGGAUGAACGCUGGCGGCGUGCCUAAUACAUGCAAGUCGAGCGAAUGGAUUAAGAGCUUGCUCUUAUGAAGUUAGCGGCGGACGGGUGAGUAACACGUGGGUAACCUGCCCGUAAGACUGGGAUAACUCCGGGAAACCGGGGCUAAUACCGGAUAACAUUUUGAACUGCAUGGUUCGAAAUUGAAAGGCGGCUUCGGCU